ACGCUAGCGGCAGGCCUAAUACAUGCAAGCCGAACGGCAAGUUGAAUAGCAAUAUUUGACCUAGAGUGGCGUAAGGGUGCGUAACGGGUAUGCAAUCUGCCCGCAACAGGAGGAUAGCUCGGGGAAACCCGAAUUAAUACUCCAUAAGAUCAUGGUGGGGCAUCCCAUAGUGAUUAAACUACAAGGGGUUGCGGAUGAGCAUGCUUCUGAUUAGCUAGUUGGCGGUGUAACGGACCACCAAGGCGAUGAUCAGUAGGGGAACUGAGAGGUUGAUCCCCCACACUGGCACUGAGAUACGGGCCAGACUCCUACGGGAGGCAGCAGUAGGGAAUAUUGGACAAUGGGUGCGAGCCUGAUCCAGCCAUGCCGCGUGCAGGAAGAAGGCCUUCUGGGUUGUAAACUGCUUUUGCCAGGGGAUAAAACGACCUUGCGAGGUUAAUUGAAGGUACCUGGUGAAUAAGCCACGGCUAACUACGUGCCAGCAGCCGCGGUAAUACGUAGGUGGCAAGCGUUGUCCGGAUUUAUUGGGUUUAAAGGGUGCGUAGGCGGUCCUAUAAGUCAGUGGUGAAAUACAGCCGCUUAACGGUUGAGGUGCCAUUGAUACUGCAGGACUUGAGUACAGACGAAGUAGGCGGAAUUGACGGUGUAGCGGUGAAAUGCAUAGAUAUCGUCAAGAACACCGAUAGCGAAGGCAGCUUACUAGACUGUAACUGACGCUGAGGCACGAAAGUGUGGGGAUCAAACAGGAUUAGAUACCCUGGUAGUCCACACUGUAAACGAUGAUUACUCGAUGUUGGCGAUACACA
Molecule: ribosomal RNA, 806 nt
Filed under: uncultured bacterium
Lineage: Bacteria
Description: bacterial SSU rRNA
Rfam family: Bacterial small subunit ribosomal RNA
Source: RNAcentral